UCCCGCUCCGCGAAAAGUCGCCGACUGUGGCGGCCUGCCCCCUUCACCAGUGAAGGAUCGGGCUAGCGGGGCGGGUUCUG
RNAcentral lists this non-coding RNA (80 nucleotides) under unclassified sequences. RNAcentral describes it as "DUF3800-IX RNA". It matches the Rfam family "DUF3800-IX RNA". From Rfam's summary of the family: Actinobacteria, Firmicutes (1 example), Nitrospirae, Proteobacteria, Verrucomicrobia (1 example). The record is from Rfam by way of RNAcentral.